GGGCUUGUAGCUCAGUUGGUUAGAGCGCGUCCCUGAUAAGGACGAGGCCAAUGGUUCGAAUCCAUUCAGGCCCACCA
Molecule: transfer RNA, 77 nt
Filed under: Planctomycetota bacterium
Lineage: Bacteria; Pseudomonadati; Planctomycetota
Also listed under: 1 other name
Description: tRNA-Ile
Rfam family: tRNA
About the family: Transfer RNA (tRNA) molecules are approximately 80 nucleotides in length. Their secondary structure includes four short double-helical elements and three loops (D, anti-codon, and T loops).
Source: RNAcentral